RNAcentral lists this ribosomal RNA (301 nucleotides) under uncultured bacterium. Its description in RNAcentral is "partial 16S ribosomal RNA". It matches the Rfam family "Bacterial small subunit ribosomal RNA", at positions 509 to 807 of the family's 1533-position model. The record is from RNAcentral.
CAGCCGCCGCGGUAAUACGUAGGUGGCAAGCGUUGUCCGGAAUUAUUGGGCGUAAAGGGCUCGCAGGCGGUUUCUUAAGUCUGAUGUGAAAGCCCCCGGCUCAACCGGGGAGGGUCAUUGGAAACUGGGAAACUUGAGUGCAGAAGAGGAGAGUGGAAUUCCACGUGUAGCGGUGAAAUGCGUAGAGAUGUGGAGGAACACCAGAGGCGAAGGCGACUCUCUGGUCUGUAACUGACGCUGAGGAGCGAGAGCGUGGGGAGCGAACAGGAUUAGAUACCCCCGUAGUCCCUGUCUCUUAUAC